RNAcentral lists this ribosomal RNA (484 nucleotides) under uncultured bacterium. RNAcentral's name for it is "partial 16S ribosomal RNA". It matches the Rfam family "Bacterial small subunit ribosomal RNA", at positions 30 to 507 of the family's 1533-position model. The record is from RNAcentral.
AUUGAACGCUGGCGGCAGGCCUAACACAUGCAAGUCGAGCGGAUGAAGGGAGCUUGCUCCUGGAUUCAGCGGCGGACGGGUGAGUAAUGCCUAGGAAUCUGCCUGGUAGUGGGGGAUAACGUCCGGAAACGGGCGCUAAUACCGCAUACGUCCUGAGGGAGAAAGUGGGGGAUCUUCGGACCUCACGCUAUCAGAUGAGCCUAGGUCGGAUUAGAUAGUUGGUGGGGUAAAGGCCUACCAAGGCGACGAUCCGUAACUGGUCUGAGAGGAUGAUCAGUCACACUGGAACUGAGACACGGUCCAGACUCCUACGGGAGGCAGCAGUGGGGAAUAUUGGACAAUGGGCGAAAGCCUGAUCCAGCCAUGCCGCGUGUGUGAAGAAGGUCUUCGGAUUGUAAAGCACUUUAAGUUGGGAGGAAGGGCAGUAAGUUAAUACCUUGCUGUUUUGACGUUACCAACAGAAUAAGCACCGGCUAACUUCGUG